GGAGCUUGCCAAACUACAUGCCUAUUAGUGAGGAACCUGAAAUCCAUAGCUGAAGGUUUACAAGAACUCUAGCCUCAUGUUCUUGGAUAAAGUUCAUGAACAACUGCCUAGAUGUCACAGUGUCUCCUUGUCCAGAGAGAUUCCUGUGACCAGAACUUGCCAUCUGAAUAACAAAAUCUGGUGCAAUGCUAAACUCACUUCUUUGGGGAUAUCUACUUUGUCAUUAGACAUCAUCUGGAAGCCUACCAAGAGGUUUGGGAGCACGUUAUGACCCAGAGAAAUCAUACCAAAUGGCACACAGAAGAAAUCUACCAUCUCUGCAAUUAAUUUGUCCUAAACAAUCGUGAUCUAGGCAUCACACUUCCUGCCAGCAGACCUACGUCUUGUGCAUACUUUUUAGUGACUGCAGUACCAAAAUCCACUGGAUUGGAAUCAGAGUCUUCAUAGUUUUUGCUCUUAAAUUAAAAGUGGUGGAAUCCA
Molecule: non-coding RNA, 480 nt
Organism: Pantherophis guttatus
Lineage: Eukaryota; Metazoa; Chordata; Lepidosauria; Squamata; Colubridae
Source: RefSeq, a predicted model, not a curated record